CCACGUCGUGUAAAUUAAUAUAUAAAAACGUUUUUUUUUUUGUGACCAUAAAUUGUAGUUGCCUACAAAGUAAGAUUUACUCGUUUGGCCAAUAUAACACAAUAAUUAACACUUAGCACUGUUUUCCCAUAAAAAGCAUUCCUUUUACAAAUAAUUAUUAUUAUUACAAUAAAAAGAACAAACAUUGGUGCAAUGUCCUGCUUCAGCUUCACCAUGUUCCAAUCCGCUUUAAGGAGAAAAAGAUGAAAGGGACUCCCAAUGACCCAACCCCAGCCCCAUGCUUCUGUCUAUUUAAUACUAUAUAUACAUAUCUGGCAAACCAGAAAUUUUAUACGACUAACUGUACAAAUCAAUCUUUUUCCUUUCUUUUACUAGUAAAUAAAUUUGGAUUCCCCAUUUAAGAAUACGUUCAAUAUGAACCAAUUUAGCUAAAAAAAGUCAUUUUAAGGGCCCGCCCACCUCAGUACUGUACUACUUGUACUGUUGCUUCUUAUUCGCCAUCAUGCAUUGUUUUUACACUUUCACAAUCAUUUUAUUUCCUCUUAAUCGUUUCACCACAUUUUCUUACUUCUUAAUCGGCUCCCUAGUGCUUUGAAGAAGAAGAAAACCUGUCACUAUUACAUGCAAUAAUGAAACAUUAAGAGAGUGAUUGGUCCAAUUCAACUACCUGCAAUGAGAGAAGUUACAACAUGUUGUAUGUCAUUUAAUGCCAUACUAUUAUCAAUGGAGGCAAAUAGAAAAAAAAAUUGUCACAUGGCCCCAUUAAAAAUGAGGGGUUUGGAUGCGUUAGAAAGAGUAAAUAACUGUCGUGCAAGCAAGCUGUGAGCACUAUCAUUUGAAACACAGACAUUUACUGUGUGUGUUCCACUCAAAGUGUGUUGCAGUCUUCAAUUAUCUGAUGAGAAAUGAACUUGUUAAGACAAGGAUUUUUUGAAUGGAUUUUCCUCACUCUCACCGACUUGUGUGACUAAUUUGCCUAGAGGAAAAUGCCAAGUUAACAUGUGGUUCUUAAUAACUAGUGUUACUUGUGAAAGAUCAAAACAUAUGAAAAAGUUGCAUCGAAUUUUUGGGCUUAACAUGUUUGGAAUUUGAUCUACUUGUAGGUGUUAUGGGCACAUGUGAAGUUAGCCUACUGAAAAUGUAAAAUGAAUGGAUUGGUGUAGGGUUGAAGCCCAUCUCCAAUUUCAUAAUGAGGUAAUGAUGAGUCUGAAAAUUGGGUCUGUAGUCUACAGAUUAUAGGAUCUGAGACGGUUAAGCUCAGAGGCAAAGUCAUCAACAGCAUCCUUUGUCAAUAGGGUGUUGACCAUCUCACCAGCGUUUUUAUGAAUUUAUGCGCAGCAUCACAAAUAAAUGAAUAAAAAUCCUUUAAAAGAAUAUGGCAA
Molecule: long non-coding RNA, 1382 nt
Filed under: Gossypium barbadense (sea-island cotton)
Lineage: Eukaryota; Viridiplantae; Streptophyta; Magnoliopsida; Malvales; Malvaceae
Description: long non-coding RNA (GBAR_LNC015707)
Source: RNAcentral